This 1360-nucleotide long non-coding RNA is filed under the name Physcomitrium patens. RNAcentral's name for it is "long non-coding RNA (PPAT_LNC008338)". Lineage: Eukaryota; Viridiplantae; Streptophyta; Bryopsida; Funariales; Funariaceae. The record is from RNAcentral.
CACAAUAGAUAGGUUCCAGUAGGGGUAUUCAACAUUUUAACUUACUGCUGCGAAAACGGACCUGAAUUCUGCUUGCAGGGAUCAUAAUAUUCGUAAAAAUGUGGAGGAACACUGUAGUUUGUACCAAAUUCUGAAGCUAAAUGUCCGCCGUAGCUUCGUGUAGGAUGCUUUCUUCAUAGAAGCAUAGAGAAGUGGGACUGGUGAUAGGCUGUACCACUGAACAAAUUCUUAAUGGCUGUUGAUGAAUGCGGCGACAUCAAGGAACAUUUUGGGUCCCACCUUAGCCUGAUUCAGGAGAGCGAAUGUAUGUAUCCCUUCCUCAUAGAAAAUCGUUUGCACCUGCUUUCCAGCUUUCUGCAAACCCUCCGCAAAUCGCAUCUGCCGUAAACAGUCAAUGAACAAUCAGGACAUAAAACAAAAACAAAACAAGAAGCUAUGCUCGUGGCUCCUAGAAGCAGAGGAAAUAAAGGAUAAAAGUUCAUAUGACUUCUAAAAUUUCAGGGAUCAAUUCUGCAGUUUCUCAACCUUACUAGACAUUGAAGAAUAAUUACCCACAAUGGCUAGAUUAAGAAAGGGUCGGUUAGUUGUAGCAUGUACUCAUAACAAUCAUAGAGCUUCUACCAUUCCUCAACUCGUCGCAAGUGAAGUUACAGGCAGAACUGAUCUGGAGGCAGAGUUGGGUGGAGAAAAACAGUAAACUGAAAUUGCUAACCUCCCAAUCUUGUAAGAUAUCCAAACCGCCGACAAUGUUAAGAAAUGGGGGCAAGGAAACAUCAGACAAGUCCGAGGAGUUGGGCCCGAAAAUGUUGCAGGCUGGGUGGUCUCGAUUGGAGCCUUUAGGCAAGUAAGACUUCCAGUACCAAUCCAAGCUCUCCACAGAAACCAACGGAACGUUCUUGAGGCGAAGCUCAGCUGGUGUCCUCUCCUCCCCACCAAAGAAGCCCUGAAUUAUCACCACACCCUUAAGACUCACGCGACCCAAGUCCUUUCUGGCUGAUUGCAGAGCCAUGUGAUAGGCUAUGUUAGCGCCAGCACUGUCUCCACACAGAAAUACCCGGGAGAAAUCCACGUUUAGAGGAAGAGAUGCGGUUGCUUUCUCCGAUUGAAGCCACUCGAGGCCUUUGAACGAGUCAUCGUAUGCCGUGGGGAACUUAAAUUCGGGUGCUCGCCUGCACAAGACGUUCAAUCACUUCCGUCAUUUAUUGACUUGAAGCCAAAAAACAGAAUUACAGUUCUCGAUAUUCACCAACUUAUCCACUUCAAAUAUCAUUUCCUGUGAAGUGAUUAGAUUUACUGAAUUUUCUGUGAGGAAAUCAGUAUGAAGAGGCAGAGAAAAACACAUCAGAAGAUCCGAACGCUG